Molecule: transfer RNA, 88 nt
Filed under: Gemmatimonadota bacterium
Lineage: Bacteria; Pseudomonadati; Gemmatimonadota
Also listed under: 1 other name
Description: Gemmatimonadetes bacterium tRNA-Ser
Rfam family: tRNA
About the family: Transfer RNA (tRNA) molecules are approximately 80 nucleotides in length. Their secondary structure includes four short double-helical elements and three loops (D, anti-codon, and T loops). Further hydrogen bonds mediate the characteristic L-shaped molecular structure. tRNAs have two regions of fundamental functional importance: the anti-codon, which is responsible for specific mRNA codon recognition, and the 3' end, to which the tRNAs corresponding amino acid is attached (by aminoacyl-tRNA synthetases). tRNAs cope with the degeneracy of the genetic code in two manners: having more than one tRNA (with a specific anti-codon) for a particular amino acid; and 'wobble' base-pairing, i.e. permitting non-standard base-pairing at the 3rd anti-codon position.
Source: RNAcentral
GGACGGGUGGCCGAGUGGCUUAAGGCGCACGCCUGGAGAGCGUGUGGGCGCCGCAAGCGCCUCGUGGGUUCGAAUCCCACCCCGUCCG